RNAcentral lists this ribosomal RNA (460 nucleotides) under uncultured bacterium. Its description in RNAcentral is "partial 16S ribosomal RNA". It matches the Rfam family "Bacterial small subunit ribosomal RNA", at positions 338 to 795 of the family's 1533-position model. The record is from RNAcentral.
CCUACGGGUGGCAGCAGUGAGGAAUAUUGGUCAAUGGGCGGAAGCCUGAACCAGCCAAGUAGCGUGCAGGAUGACGGCCCUACGGGUUGUAAACUGCUUUUAUACGGGAACAACGCGCCUUACGUGUAGGGCUUUGCAUGUACCGUAUGAAAAAGCACCGGCUAAUUCCGUGCCAGCAGCCGCGGUAAUACGGAGGGUCCGGGCGUUAUCCGGAUUUAUUGGGGUUAAAGGGUGCGUAGGCCGGAGGUCAAGUGAGCUGUGAAAUGUCCGGGCUCAACCCGGGCCUUGCAGUGGGAACUGGGGUGCUUGAGUGCGCGGAAAGCAGGCGGAAUUCGUGGUGUAGCGGUGAAAUGCAUAGAUAUGACGAAGAACCCCGAUUGCGAAGGCAGCUUGCUGCAGCGGAACUGACGCUGAUGCUCGAAAGCGCGGGUAUCGAACAGGAUUAGAUACCCGAGUAGUC